Molecule: ribosomal RNA, 1594 nt
Filed under: Campylobacter coli
Lineage: Bacteria; Pseudomonadati; Campylobacterota; Epsilonproteobacteria; Campylobacterales; Campylobacteraceae
Description: bacterial LSU rRNA
Rfam family: Bacterial large subunit ribosomal RNA
Source: RNAcentral
GGUUUCCUACGCGAUGCUCGUCAUCGUAGGGUUAGUCGGGUCCUAAGUCGAGUCCGAAAGGGGUAGACGAUGGCAAAUUGGUUAAUAUUCCAAUACCAACAUUAGUGUGCGAUGGAAGGACGCUUAGGGCUAAGGGGGCUAGCGGAUGGAAGUGCUAGUCUAAGGUCGUAGGAGGUUAUACAGGCAAAUCCGUAUAACAAUACUCCGAGAACUGAAAGGCUUUUUGAAGUCUUCGGAUGGAUAGAAGAACCCCUGAUGCCAUCGAGCCAAGAAAAGUUUCUAAGUUUAGCUAAUGUUGCCCGUACCGUAAACCGACACAGGUGGGUGGGAUGAGUAUUCUAAGGCGCGUGGAAGAACUCUCUUUAAGGAACUCUGCAAAAUAGCACCGUAUCUUCGGUAUAAGGUGUGGUUCGCUUCGUAUUAGGAUUUACUCCGAAAGCGAAGAAACUUACAACAAAGAGUCCCUCCCGACUGUUUACCAAAAACACAGCACUCUGCUAACUCGUAAGAGGAUGUAUAGGGUGUGACGCCUGCCCGGUGCUCGAAGGUUAAUUGAUGGGGUUAGCAUUAGCGAAGCUCUUGAUCGAAGCCCGAGUAAACGGCGGCCGUAACUAUAACGGUCCUAAGGUAGCGAAAUUCCUUGUCGGUUAAAUACCGACCUGCAUGAAUGGCGUAACGAGAUGGGAGCUGUCUCAAAGAGGGAUCCAGUGAAAUUGUAGUGGAGGUGAAAAUUCCUCCUACCCGCGGCAAGACGGAAAGACCCCGUGGACCUUUACUACAGCUUGACACUGCUAUUUGGAUAAGAAUGUGCAGGAUAGGUGGGAGGCUUUGAGUAUAUGACGCCAGUUGUAUAUGAGCCAUUGUUGAGAUACCACUCUUUCUUAUUUGGGUAGCUAACCAGCUUGAGUUAUCCUCAAGUGGGACAAUGUCUGGUGGGUAGUUUGACUGGGGCGGUCGCCUCCCAAAUAAUAACGGAGGCUUACAAAGGUUGGCUCAGAACGGUUGGAAAUCGUUCGUAGAGUAUAAAGGUAUAAGCCAGCUUAACUGCAAGACAUACAAGUCAAGCAGAGACGAAAGUCGGUCUUAGUGAUCCGGUGGUUCUGUGUGGAAGGGCCAUCGCUCAAAGGAUAAAAGGUACCCCGGGGAUAACAGGCUGAUCUCCCCCAAGAGCUCACAUCGACGGGGAGGUUUGGCACCUCGAUGUCGGCUCAUCGCAUCCUGGGGCUGGAGCAGGUCCCAAGGGUAUGGCUGUUCGCCAUUUAAAGCGGUACGCGAGCUGGGUUCAGAACGUCGUGAGACAGUUCGGUCCCUAUCUGCCGUGGGCGUAAGAAGAUUGAAGAGAUUUGACCCUAGUACGAGAGGACCGGGUUGAACAAACCACUGGUGUAGCUGUUGUUCUGCCAAGAGCAUCGCAGCGUAGCUAAGUUUGGAAAGGAUAAACGCUGAAAGCAUCUAAGCGUGAAGCCAACUCUAAGAUGAAUCUUCUCUAAGCUCUCUAGAAGACUACUAGUUUGAUAGGCUGGGUGUGUAAUGGAUGAAAGUCCUUUAGCUGACCAGUACUAAUAGAGCGUUUGGCUUAUCUUUAAUAAAGCAU